This is a non-coding RNA of Zonotrichia albicollis (white-throated sparrow), 704 nucleotides long. The record is from RefSeq and is a predicted model, not a curated record. Lineage: Eukaryota; Metazoa; Chordata; Aves; Passeriformes; Passerellidae.
GUGGAGCCCAAGCGGGCUCCGCCUGCUCCAGGCACCGGCCCGGAUCCCGGCAGGGUCCACUCAGCCCUUCAUCCUUCCGAGGUGGAUAAAAUGAGUGCCACACAGGGGGUGUGUGGGGGUCUUCUGGCAAGACCUUAAAACGUGGGUGGGGGGAUGUGGUGGAGCCUGGGACCUGUCAGGCUGGAGGAUCCCAAGGAGACAUCCUCAUCUGCCAAGAUGCAACUUUCAUCCUGGUGCAGAUAAAUUGUUCUUUCUACAGAACUUGGAACAGGCAAAAAAGCCUUACUUAAAGCUGCAUAGAAAUAAAUAAUUUCAAAUCUUGCCAACUCCUGUAGCCACCUGCCACCGUACCUGUUCUGCUGUCCGUGGCUGGUACAUUCCAGUGGUGAGCUGAGAGGAAGCCCCAGGCAGGAAGCAGUCCUCUCCUGCUGGUGGGGAGGCCUGUGCCGAAAACCUGGGAACAGAUCCCUGCAGCACAAAAAACCUGGAGCGUGAGGGAGCUGAUAAUUCCCACGCUGCUCUGGCAAUUACUUUUGCUGAAAUAAUUAAUAGGUUAAUUGAGUAUCUUCGAAUGGGGGGGAAAUUAAUUUCUUUGUAUUUAGAUAGAGGUUGUUCCUUCUGCCUCUGCUCUGAUUAUCAAAGCUCUGAAGGAGCCACCUCGUGACAGGAAGAAGCAGAAGAACAGUAAGCACAGCGGCAGCGCA